UGAGGAAUAUUGGUCAAUGGGCGGAAGCCUGAACCAGCCACGCCGCGUGCAGGAAGACGGCCCUACGGGUUGUAAACUGCUUUUCCGGGGGACGAAUAAGGGCGAUGCGUCGCCCGAUGCCGGUACCCCGGGAAUAAGGAUCGGCUAACUCCGUGCCAGCAGCCGCGGUAAUACGGAGGAUCCGAGCGUUAUCCGGAUUUACUGGGUUUAAAGGGUGCGUAGGCGGGCGCCUAAGUCGGCGGUGAAAGGCUGCGGCUCAACCGUAGGAUGGCCGUUGAUACUGGGCGCCUUGGAUUCGGUCGAGGCGGGUGGAAUGCGCGGUGUAGCGGUGAAAUGCUUAGAUAUCGCGCAGAACGCCGAUUGCGAAGGCAGCUCGCCAGGCCGAGAUUGACGCUGAGG
Molecule: ribosomal RNA, 399 nt
Filed under: uncultured bacterium
Lineage: Bacteria
Description: bacterial SSU rRNA
Rfam family: Bacterial small subunit ribosomal RNA
Source: RNAcentral